GACGAACGCUGGCGGCGUGCUUAACACAUGCAAGUCGAACGGAAAGGCCCUGCUUUUGUGGGGUGCUCGAGUGGCGAACGGGUGAGUAACACGUGAGUAACCUGCCCUUGACUUUGGGAUAACUUCAGGAAACUGGGGCUAAUACCGGAUAGGAGCUCCUGCUGCAUGGUGGGGGUUGGAAAGUUUCGGCGGUUGGGGAUGGACUCGCGGCUUAUCAGCUUGUUGGUGGGGUAGUGGCUAACCAAGGCUUUGACGGGUAGCCGGCCUGAGAGGGUGACCGGCCACAUGGCUACUGAGGUACGACCCAGACGCGAACGGGAGGCAACGGUGGAGAGUAUUGUACAGUGGGCGGAAGCCUGAUGCGACAACGCCGCGUGGGGGAAGACGGCCAUGGGGUUGUAAAGCGCAGUCGCCUGUGACGAAGCGUGAGUGACGGUAAUGGGUAAAGAAGCACCGGCUAACUACGUG
This 468-nucleotide ribosomal RNA is filed under the name uncultured bacterium. RNAcentral's name for it is "partial 16S ribosomal RNA". It matches the Rfam family "Bacterial small subunit ribosomal RNA", at positions 28 to 507 of the family's 1533-position model. The record is from RNAcentral.